CCGAGUCUUAAUUGGGCGUUAAGUUGCAGGGUAUAGACCCGAAACCCGGUGAUCUAGCCAUGGGCAGGUUGAAGGUUGGGUAACACUAACUGGAGGACCGAACCGACUAAUGUUGAAAAAUUAGCGGAUGACCUGUGGCUGGGGGUGAAAGGCCAAUCAAACCGGGAGAUAGCUGGUUCUCCCCGAAAGCUAUUUAGGUAGCGCCUCGUGAAUUCAUCUCCGGGGGUAGAGCACUGUUUCGGCUAGGGGGCCAUCCCGGCUUACCAACCCGAUGCAAACUGCGAAUACCGGAGAAUGUUAUCACGGGAGACACACGGCGGGUGCUAACGUCCGUCGUGAAGAGGGAAACAACCCAGACCGCCAGCUAAGGUCCCAAAGUCAUGGUUAAGUGGGAAACGAUGUGGGAAGGCCCAGACAGCCAGGAUGUUGGCUUAGAAGCAGCCAUCAUUUAAAGAAAGCGUAAUAGCUCACUGGUCGAGUCGGCCUGCGCGGAAGAUGUAACGGGGCUAAACCAUGCACCGAAGCUGCGGCAGCGACGCUGAUGCGUUGUUGGGUAGGGGAGCGUUCUGUAAGCCUGUGAAGGUGGCCUGUGAGGGUUGCUGGAGGUAUCAGAAGUGCGAAUGCUGACAUAAGUAACGAUAAAGCGGGUGAAAAGCCCGCUCGCCGGAAGACCAAGGGUUCCUGUCCAACGUUAAUCGGGGCAGGGUGAGUCGACCCCUAAGGCGAGGCCGAAAGGCGUAGUCGAUGGGAAACGGGUUAAUAUUCCCGUACUUGGUGUUACUGCGAAGGGGGGACGGAGAAGGCUAUGUUGGCCGGGCGACGGUUGUCCCGGUUUAAGCGUGUAGGUGUGUGUUCCAGGUAAAUCCGGUUCACUUUAACACUGAGGCGUGAUGACGAGGCACUACGGUGCUGAAGCAACAAAUGCCCUGCUUCCAGGAAAAGCCUCUAAGCAUCAGGUAACAUCAAAUCGUACCCCAAACCGACACAGGUGGUCAGGUAGAGAAUACCAAGGCGCUUGAGAGAACUCGGGUGAAGGAACUAGGCAAAAUGGUGCCGUAACUUCGGGAGAAGGCACGCUGACAC
Molecule: ribosomal RNA, 1083 nt
Filed under: Salmonella enterica subsp. enterica
Lineage: Bacteria; Pseudomonadati; Pseudomonadota; Gammaproteobacteria; Enterobacterales; Enterobacteriaceae
Description: partial 23S ribosomal RNA
Rfam family: Bacterial large subunit ribosomal RNA
Source: RNAcentral